Molecule: ribosomal RNA, 484 nt
Filed under: uncultured bacterium
Lineage: Bacteria
Description: partial 16S ribosomal RNA
Rfam family: Bacterial small subunit ribosomal RNA
Source: RNAcentral
GACGAACGCUGGCGGCGUGCUUAACACAUGCAAGUCGAACGAUGAAGCUGGAGCUUGCUCCGGUGGAUUAGUGGCGAACGGGUGAGUAACACGUGAGCAAUCUGCCCUUGACUCUGGGAUAACUGCGGGAAACUGUAGCUAAUACCGGAUACCUUCACUGGAAGGCAUCUUCUGGUGAAGAAAGAAUUUCGGUCAAGGAUGGGCUCGCGGCCUAUCAGCUUGUUGGUGAGGUAACGGCUCACCAAGGCGACGACGGGUAGCCGGCCUGAGAGGGUGACCGGCCACACUGGGACUGAGACACGGCCCAGACUCCUACGGGAGGCAGCAGUGGGGAAUAUUGCACAAUGGGCGCAAGCCUGAUGCAGCAACGCCGCGUGAGGGAUGAAGGCCUUCGGGUUGUAAACCUCUUUUAGCAGGGAAGAAGCGAAAGUGACGGUACCCGCAGAAAAAGCACCGGCUAACUACGUGCCAGCCGCCGCAGUAA